Molecule: unclassified non-coding RNA, 237 nt
Filed under: Glomeromycotina sp.
Lineage: Eukaryota; Fungi; Glomeromycota
Description: partial contains 5.8S ribosomal RNA and internal transcribed spacer 2
Rfam family: 5.8S ribosomal RNA (bases 1-71)
Source: RNAcentral
GUGAAUCAUCAAAUUUUUGAACGCAAAUUGCACUCUCUGGUAUUCCGGAGAGUAUGCCUGUUUGAGGUUCGGUUAAAUAAAAAACCGUGUUGUUGCUGUCUUUUGUGGUGACGCCCCGGAUUUAGGGCGUCUUGCCUUUGGUUUAGUUACCUAAAAUUUUGCCUGAUUUUUUUUGAAAGUAUUUAAAUGGUUUUACGUACGUUUUCGAUAUCGAAUUCUUGGUGUGGUUAUUCCCAU